This 74-nucleotide transfer RNA is filed under the name Mus musculus (house mouse). Its description in RNAcentral is "tRNA-Ala". The record is from RNAcentral. Lineage: Eukaryota; Metazoa; Chordata; Mammalia; Rodentia; Muridae.
ACAGAUGUAGCUUGGUGGGCAGAGUACUUUCUUAGCAUGUACAAGAGACCCUGGGUUCAAUCCCCAGCACUGAA